CAAAAAUGGCGUAUUCCUCUUGUCCGGGUUUUGAACAUUCUCUUCUUCUGUAGACUGUAGUAUCCUUCCCAUAAACGUCAGGGUUUUAGCUUCCUCUGCAGUUUUACUCUCUAACAAACAUGGAUUCUAUUGCUAAAUUGCACUUUCCUUCUCAACCCUCUCAUUUCUCCCUUAAUCCCCACCGUCCAUCCUUCUCCAAACCCAUAUUUUCCCUUUCCUUCAGAACCCCUCCUCCGCUAUCAUCAUCAUCACCACCGUUCAAUUUUUCCUCCAUUAGAGUCUCAUCUUCUCGCGCUUCACUCUAUAAAACAUCGCAAACCCCUCAACCUUCUCUUCUUCAAACCCUAAACCCUCUCCUCAAAACCACUUGCAUCACUCUCACUUGCGCUGCUGCAAUCCUCUUCUUGCGACUCCAGGCUAAACCAGCAAUUGCUGCCCCGGUUGCCGAGCCGGCCACGGUUGAACCCACCAAGGAAUCAUCGAAGGAAAAUGUAUCAUAUGAAGAACAAGAACGAGACCUUGAGCAGCAUUUGGCUCGACAUCCUGAUGAUACUGAAGCUCUACGAUCUCUCAUGGAGGUGAGGAUCAAAGCCCGGAAGCUUCUUGGAGCAAUCGAAGUCGUGGACCGCUUAAUCGAGCUGGAGCCCAAUGAGGAUGAGUGGCCGUUGCUAAAACCUCAAAUUUAUAGCUACAGUGGAGAAUUUGAAUUGGCGAGAAAGGGAUUCGAGGAAAUACUAGAGAAAGAUCCUCUUCGGGUGGAGGCUUAUCACGGUCUAGUGAUGGUGCAUUUUGAAUCCGGGGAUUCAUUGAAUCAGGUGAUAAAAAGAAUUGAAGCAGCGAUGGAUAAAUGCAAGAAAGAGAAGAAAGAAUCUGACUUGAGGGAUUUUAAGUUAUUAAUUGCACAAAUUAGAGUGAUGGAGGAGAAAUAUGUGGAUGCUUUGAAGGUUUAUGAGGAGUUGGUUAAGGAGGAGCCAAGGGAUUUUAGGCCAUACUUGUGUCAGGGAAUUAUAUAUACUCUGUUGAGGAAGAAAGAUGAGGCGGAGAAAAAAUUUGAGCAGUUUAGGAAGCUUGUGCCUAAGAAUCACCCUUACAGGGAGUUUUUCCUUGAUAACAUGUUUUCAACAAAGUUCUUCCCGGAGAAGGUCCAAAGGGAGGGAGCAGGGUCGAGUAUUUGAGAGAAAUGGGAAAAUAAAUUUAGAGAGCCCACCGCAGGAGUUUGAAAUCUAGUGCCUCUGCUCUUCCUGGUCAAAGGUUUGGAUGAUCUGGCUUCACAAGAUGCUAAUUAUUGUACAAGUGGAAACCUCAAAAGAGAGAGAACUUUAUUUGUUGCUGGUCUUGCCUUUCCAUGAAUCCCACAUUAAUUUCAGUUUCUGAAAAUUUAUUCAGUUGUCUGCAGCUGAGGUUAUUUAUUGAUUUGAUCAGUUUCAUUGUAUGGUAAGCAUCACAUUUAAGGCAUCUGCAUUCUUCUUAUGGAGACAGUAUUCUUAUAUAUUAACUCGAAUGGUGAAUUUGCAUGAUAA
This is an RNA transcript of Hevea brasiliensis (rubber tree), 1520 nucleotides long. It is a transcript of the gene named protein SLOW GREEN 1, chloroplastic, with no coding region annotated. NCBI's taxonomy places the organism in Eukaryota, Viridiplantae, Streptophyta, Magnoliopsida, Malpighiales, Euphorbiaceae. The transcript has 3 exons. The record is from RefSeq and is a predicted model, not a curated record.